Molecule: ribosomal RNA, 253 nt
Filed under: uncultured bacterium
Lineage: Bacteria
Description: partial 16S ribosomal RNA
Rfam family: Bacterial small subunit ribosomal RNA
Source: RNAcentral
UACGGAGGGUGCAAGCGUUAUCCGGAUUCACUGGGUUUAAAGGGUGCGUAGGUGGGCAGGUAAGUCAGUGGUGAAAUCUCCGGGCUUAACUCGGAAACUGCCGUUGAUACUAUCUGUCUUGAAUAUCGUGGAGGUUAGCGGAACAUGUCAUGUAGCGGUGAAAUGCUUAGAUAUGACAUAGAACACCCAUUGCGAAGGCAGCUAACUACACGAUCAUUGACACUGAGGCACGAAAGCGUGGGGAGCAAACAGG